UAGGGAAUCUUCGGCAAUGGGGGCAACCCUGACCGAGCAACGCCGCGUGAGUGAAGAAGGUUUUCGGAUCGUAAAGCUCUGUUGUAAGUCAAGAACGGGUGUGAGAGUGGAAAGUUCACACUGUGACGGUAGCUUACCAGAAAGGGACGGCUAACUACGUGCCAGCAGCCGCGGUAAUACGUAGGUCCCGAGCGUUGUCCGGAUUUAUUGGGCGUAAAGCGAGCGCAGGCGGUUUGAUAAGUCUGAAGUUAAAGGCUGUGGCUCAACCAUAGUUCGCUUUGGAAACUGUCAAACUUGAGUGCAGAAGGGGAGAGUGGAAUUCCAUGUGUAGCGGUGAAAUGCGUAGAUAUAUGGAGGAACACCGGUGGCGAAAGCGGCUCUCUGGUCUGUAACUGACGCUGAGGCUCGAAAGCGUGGGGAGCGAACAGGAUUAGAUACCCUGGUAGUCCACGCCGUAACGAUGAGUGCUAGGUGUUGGAUCCUUUCCGGGAUUCAGUGCCGCAGCUAACGCAUUAAGCACUCCGCCUGGGGAGUACGACCGCAAGGUU
This 548-nucleotide ribosomal RNA is filed under the name uncultured bacterium. Its description in RNAcentral is "bacterial SSU rRNA". It matches the Rfam family "Bacterial small subunit ribosomal RNA", at positions 355 to 895 of the family's 1533-position model. The record is from RNAcentral.